This 76-nucleotide transfer RNA is filed under the name Pectobacterium carotovorum subsp. carotovorum. RNAcentral's name for it is "tRNA-Pro". It matches the Rfam family "tRNA". From Rfam's summary of the family: Transfer RNA (tRNA) molecules are approximately 80 nucleotides in length. Their secondary structure includes four short double-helical elements and three loops (D, anti-codon, and T loops). RNAcentral also lists the same sequence under 17 other names. Lineage: Bacteria; Pseudomonadati; Pseudomonadota; Gammaproteobacteria; Enterobacterales; Pectobacteriaceae. The record is from RNAcentral.
CGGCACGUAGCGCAGCCUGGUAGCGCACCGUCAUGGGGUGUCGGGGUCGGAGGUUCAAAUCCUCUCGUGCCGACCA